AUCAAAGGUGAGCCAGUACAGGAUGGACCCGCGUCUGAUUAGCUAGUUGGUAAGGUAACGGCUUACCAAGGCGACGAUCAGUAGCCGACCUGAGAGGGUGAUCGGCCACAUUGGAACUGAGACACGGUCCAAACUCCUACGGGAGGCAGCAGUGGGGAAUAUUGCACAAUGGGCGAAAGCCUGAUGCAGCAACGCCGCGUGAGUGAUGAAGGCCUUCGGGUCGUAAAACUCUGUCCUCAAGGAAGAUAAUGACGGUACUUGAGGAGGAAGCCCCGGCUAACUACGUGCCAGCAGCCGCGGUAAUACGGAGGGGGCUAGCGUUAUCCGGAUUUACUGGGCGUAAAGGGUGCGUAGGCGGUCUUUCAAGUCAGGAGUGAAAGGCUACGGCUCAACCGUAGUAAGCUCUUGAAACUGGGAGACUUGAGUGCAGGAGAGGAGAGUGGAAUUCCUAGUGUAGCGGUGAAAUGCGUAGAUAUUAGGAGGAACACCAGUUGCGAAGGCGGCUCUCUGGACUGUAACUGACGCUGAGGCACGAAAGCGUGGGGAGCAAACAGGAUUAGAUACCCUGGUAGUCCACGCUGUAAACGAUGAGUACUAGGUGUCGGGGGUUACCCCC
This 616-nucleotide ribosomal RNA is filed under the name Clostridioides difficile. RNAcentral describes it as "bacterial SSU rRNA". It matches the Rfam family "Bacterial small subunit ribosomal RNA", at positions 200 to 841 of the family's 1533-position model. The record is from RNAcentral. Lineage: Bacteria; Bacillati; Bacillota; Clostridia; Peptostreptococcales; Peptostreptococcaceae.